AAGGUGGCCUGUGAGGGUUGCUGGAGGUAUCAGAAGUGCGAAUGCUGACAUAAGUAACGAUAAAGCGGGUGAAAAGCCCGCUCGCCGGAAGACCAAGGGUUCCUGUCCAACGUUAAUCGGGGCAGGGUGAGUCGACCCCUAAGGCGAGGCCGAAAGGCGUAGUCGAUGGGAAACGGGUUAAUAUUCCCGUACUUGGUGUUACUGCGAAGGGGGGACGGAGAAGGCUAUGUUGGCCGGGCGACGGUUGUCCCGGUUUAAGCGUGUAGGCGGGUGUUCCAGGUAAAUCCGGUUCACUUUAACACUGAGGCGUGACGACGAGGCACUACGGUGCUGAAGCAACAAAUGCCCUGCUUCCAGGAAAAGCCUCUAAGCAUCAGGUAACAUCAAAUCGUACCCCAAACCGACACAGGUGGUCAGGUAGAGAAUACCAAGGCGCUUGAGAGAACUCGGGUGAAGGAACUAGGCAAAAUGGUGCCGUAACUUCGGGAGAAGGCACGCUGACACGUAGGUGAAGUGAUUUACUCAUGGAGCUGAAGUCAGUCGAAGAUACCAGCUGGCUGCAACUGUUUAUUAAAAACACAGCACUGUGCAAACACGAAAGUGGACGUAUACGGUGUGACGCCUGCCCGGUGCCGGAAGGUUAAUUGAUGGGGUCAGCGCAAGCGAAGCUCCUGAUCGAAGCCCCGGUAAACGGCGGCCGUAACUAUAACGGUCCUAAGGUAGCGAAAUUCCUUGUCGGGUAAGUUCCGACCUGCACGAAUGGCGUAAUGAUGGCCAGGCUGUCUCCACCCGAGACUCAGUGAAAUUGAACUCGCUGUGAAGAUGCAGUGUACCCGCGGCAAGACGGAAAGACCCCGUGAACCUUUACUAUAGCUUGACACUGAACAUUGAGCCUUGAUGUGUAGGAUAGGUGGGAGGCUUUGAAGCGUGGACGCCAGUCUGCGUGGAGCCGACCUUGAAAUACCACCCUUUAAUGUUUGAUGUUCUAACGUGGACCCGUAAUCCGGGUUGCGGACAGUGUCUGGUGGGUAGUUUGACUGGGGCGGUCUCCUCCUAAAGAGUAACGGAGGAGCACGAAGGUUGGCUAAUCCUGGUCGGACAUCAGGAGGUUAGUGCAAUGGCAUAAGCCAGCUUGACUGCGAGCGUGACGGCGCGAGCAGGUGCGAAAGCAGGUCAUAGUGAUCCGGUGGUUCUGAAUGGAAGGGCCAUCGCUCAACGGAUAAAAGGUACUCCGGGGAUAACAGGCUGAUACCGCCCAAGAGUUCAUAUCGACGGCGGUGUUUGGCACCUCGAUGUCGGCUCAUCACAUCCUGGGGCUGAAGUAGGUCCCAAGGGUAUGGCUGUUCGCCAUUUAAAGUGGUACGCGAGCUGGGUUUAGAACGUCGUGAGACAGUUCGGUCCCUAUCUGCCGUGGGCGCUGGAGAACUGAGGGGGGCUGCUCCUAGUACGAGAGGACCGGAGUGGACGCAUCACUGGUGUUCGGGUUGUCAUGCCAAUGGCACUGCCCGGUAGCUAAAUGCGGAAGAGAUAAGUGCUGAAAGCAUCUAAGCACGAAACUUGCCCCGAGAUGAGUUCU
This 1576-nucleotide ribosomal RNA is filed under the name Salmonella enterica subsp. enterica serovar Monschaui. Its description in RNAcentral is "bacterial LSU rRNA". It matches the Rfam family "Bacterial large subunit ribosomal RNA", at positions 1253 to 2812 of the family's 2925-position model. The record is from RNAcentral. Lineage: Bacteria; Pseudomonadati; Pseudomonadota; Gammaproteobacteria; Enterobacterales; Enterobacteriaceae.